GGGGGAUAACACUUGAAAACAGGUGCUAAUACCGCAUAACCAUAGUUACCGCAUGGUAACUAUGUAAAAGGUGGCUAUGCUACCGCUUUUGGAUGGGCCCGCGACGCAUUAGCUAGUUGGUGGGGUAAAGGCUUACCAAGGCAAUGAUGCGUAGCCGAACUGAGAGGUUGAUCGGCCACAUUGGGACUGAGGCACGGCCCAAACUCCUACGGGAGGCAGCAGUAGGGAAUCUUCCACAAUGGGCGAAAGCCUGAUGGAGCAACGCCGCGUGGGUGAAGAAGGUCUUCGGAUCGUAAAACCCUGUUGUUAGAGAAGAAAGUGCGUGAGGGUAACUGUUCACGUUUCGACGGUAUCUAACCAGAAAGCCACGGCUAACUACGUGCCAGCAGCCGCGGUAAUACGUAGGUGGCAAGCGUUAUCCGGAUUUAUUGGGCGUAAAGAGAACGCAGGCGGUCUUUUAAGUCUGAUGUGAAAGCCUUCGGCUUAACCGGAGUAGUGCAUUGGAAACUGGGAGACUUGAGUGCAGAAGAGGAGAGUGGAACUCCAUGUGUAGCGGUGAAAUGCGUAGAUAUAUGGAAGAACACCAGUGGCGAAAGCGGCUCUCUGGUCUGUAACUGACGCUGAGGUUCGAAAGCGUGGGUAGCAAACAGGAUUAGAUACCCUGGUAGUCCACGCCGUAAAC
RNAcentral lists this ribosomal RNA (682 nucleotides) under uncultured bacterium. RNAcentral describes it as "bacterial SSU rRNA". It matches the Rfam family "Bacterial small subunit ribosomal RNA", at positions 138 to 807 of the family's 1533-position model. The record is from RNAcentral.